ACAAGCUGAAGUCAGGGUCUCCUGUUAGUAGGCUUCAAUGUCGUAUAUAAUAACAUUUAGGCUUAUUGACACAAUUCGAAGCUUGCCGAAUGAGAAAUCAGAAGUCCUUGUUUGCUUGAUUGUCAUGGAUGUACAGAUUAAUCUCGUUGAAAAACGUUUACACCGAAGCAAAGUUAAAAAUGUGAUAAAUCUCGGGCAAGUUCUGGAGUUGAAAGGAGCGUCGUUUUUGUCUGGAUUCUAAGCAGCUUUCCUUCGCCAUGGACGUCGGAGAUAAUGAUGUCACCAGAAAGAGCGCCAUCAAACCGCUGUAGCAAAGUCCCCGUGUUUCCAGAUCUCUGUUUGCCGACAGGCUGAACUGGAGGGCGUGGGACGGCCAGUGAGGGAGUAAGGAUGAGAGAACAGCGGCAGAAAGGAGGAGACAGAUGAAAUGAGAUAAAUACGAGCAGCUGGUUGAUCUGCGUUGGAAGAAACAAUAAUGGAGAAUGGUUGGUGGGAGAGACUAAACAAAGAGUGGUGCAGUGGCACAUAUGUGACGUGCAUGCCUGCAACACACCACACAUGGAUACACUCACACUCCUAAUCCUUCUCACCUCUUAAUCAGACAACCAUUAAAAUGGGAUUAGAGACUAUCUGCUGAAAUUCCACAUUUCCAAGCGGGAGAUGUUUGUCUUUGUGUCCUGGUUUAUGAGGUGAGAUUUUCCUCUUUGGAAAGCGACACAAUCCAAAACACUCGCCAUGAUGAAAGCAUGUUUAUCACAUGAAUGAUGUUGUGUUGAAGUCUAAUCGAAGUUGGAAUUAUUAUUAUUUUUAUCCCUAAUUCAGUAUUUGUUACCUCCACCAAGGAGGUUAUGUUAUAUUUGUUUGUCAGCAGGAUUAUGCAAAAACCACAGGCAAGAUGUAAGUCAGCAAAGAACCCAUUACAUUUUGGUGAUGAUCUGGAUCAGUUGGAGGAUCCACGAUAUUUUUUCACUUAUUUUA
Molecule: long non-coding RNA, 978 nt
Organism: Paralichthys olivaceus (Japanese flounder)
Lineage: Eukaryota; Metazoa; Chordata; Actinopteri; Pleuronectiformes; Paralichthyidae
Source: RefSeq, a predicted model, not a curated record